RNAcentral lists this ribosomal RNA (253 nucleotides) under uncultured bacterium. RNAcentral describes it as "partial 16S ribosomal RNA". It matches the Rfam family "Bacterial small subunit ribosomal RNA", at positions 524 to 776 of the family's 1533-position model. The record is from RNAcentral.
UACGGAGGGUGCAAGCGUUAUCCGGAUUCACUGGGUUUAAAGGGUGCGUAGGCGGGCAGGUAAGUCCGUGGUGAAAUCUCUGAGCUUAACUCAGAAACUGCCAUGGAUACUAUUUGUCUUGAAUAUUGUGGAGGUAAGCGGAAUAUGUCAUGUAGCGGUGAAAUGCUUAGAUAUGACAUAGAACACCAAUUGCGAAGGCAGCUUACUACACAGUUAUUGACGCUGAGGCACGAAAGCGUGGGUAGCAAACAGG